Brienomyrus brachyistius is the source of this 306-nucleotide long non-coding RNA. RefSeq lists it as uncharacterized. NCBI's taxonomy places the organism in Eukaryota, Metazoa, Chordata, Actinopteri, Osteoglossiformes, Mormyridae. The record is from RefSeq and is a predicted model, not a curated record. The transcript is spliced from 3 exons.
UUCAUGCUCCUUCUUGGCUUCAACCUGAGCCUUCAGAGAGAACGAGUGAGAGAAAAAAGGAGAGAGGGAGCCAGAGAGAGACACAUUACAUCACUGCAGCCAUGUGCAAACCAAUCAGAGGGUGCCACGGAGGGGACCUGAAUUCUGACUGGAGGACUGGCAACCAUCAGGCACCUAAAAGUUUAACUCCGCACCCUGUGGCCAUCUGCGAGGAGCGACAUGCCAGAUGAAUCACAUUAAACUGUAAAACGUUUUACAGCAAGCAAGGUCUGCGGAUUCCAGUGUCACGCCUCUACAGUUUGCCCC